AGGAGGAGAAAAAAUGUGAGAAAACAUGGAGAAUUUCUCUUUUUCUUCGUCGUUGUCUUUCUCUCUUUCUUCCUCUUUCUCAUUUUCUUUCU
This 92-nucleotide non-coding RNA is filed under the name Paramoeba aestuarina. The record is from RNAcentral. Lineage: Eukaryota; Discosea; Flabellinia; Dactylopodida; Paramoebidae.